CUCGUCUCCUCGCCAUCGCCGUCACCUCCUCCCCGUCCCCGAUCUCCUUCCGCGAUGCACCCUGAUUGAAUCGAUCCAUCUCCCCUCUCCUCCCGAUCCCGAUCUAGUCCUCUCCGCUCCGCUCCAACCCACCCACCGAACUGAUCCCGCUCCCACCCACCGAACCUAUCCUGAUUCUCCUCCGCUCAAGACCUUCUUCCCCAUUCUCCCCCCAAUCCCAAUGCCACCGACAACAUCCAUCCAUCCGCAGCUCUCCCUCCUGCCAUGGGGAUGGAUGAGGAGAUCCUCACCCCUCAACCACCCAUGGAUGGAUGUGGACGGGGCUAGGAUGGCGUCGGUGCCGGAUCUGCACCCACCUGCGUCGCCCGCCCUCGCCGGGACGCCACCACCACAUGCCUGCGCCAUGGAAGACGAGGAGGAGUGCCUCACUCUGUCGUACGGGAUGCCGCCAUGGAAGGAGAUGGAGCUCCUCCCAUCUCCUCAACCACGCACACAGCAGGAGAUUAGCAAGGGUGGGUACGAAUCCCUUCUCCCCUAUCCUGGUCCUCUUCUUCUCCUCUAAUAUCUGAAUCUCGUUUUCUUCUUGCGUCAUGGAAUCCAAGAGGGAGAGGAGGAGCUGGUCCGACCCACCCUACUGAUGACUGACACCAUGGAGGCUAUCACCAUGGUAAGCCGAGGUGCUGCGGGUGUCGAGGAAGAUGAUGGUUCGGGUGAGACAGUGAAGAGAGGAUAGCGUGCAGAGGGGGAGGACGUCAGUUCCAGCUGCUUAGAUUACUCAAGGCAGGAUUUGAUUCUGUACAAGGGGUUCAUCAUGCCAGGCUCCUCUUUUCUGAUGCUUCCAUGCAACGGUGGUGGCAAUGGUGCUGUUUGGCAUCGGCUACAAAAACACCCUGCCAUGUCAUGUCAAUCAAGUUAAUUAGAUGUUGCUCUUUUUAUGUUCUGCUUCAUACAUACAUGCAUAUGUGAUGGCUCCCUGCCUGCUACAUCUCCGCUUGCAUAAAUCAAAGAGAAGAAAGAAACACUCAGCUUAAAAAUAAUUGUAAUGAGCAGCACAUGCCUUUCAUUUUACAGGAUGGUCAUUGUAUCAUGAUAACUGGAUCAUGUCUAUGCCACAUACAAAUCAUCGAGCAGUGUUCCUGAUGCUGAUGGCCUAUUACCUUGAAUAAUAAUGUUGACAGGAGCAUUUUGGUUGCACGUUUGCGACUUCUUGCUUGAAUCCCAAAGUUUCAGAUCAACAUGGGGUUCAAUGUUUGCUUUCCAUUCUUAUUGUCCGUCUUAGAUCAUUCCCAGUUCACUGAAUCAAGUUGCCUGACCUACCUAUCAGGCUGGCUCACAUAGCUAUAUCUGUCGUGUCCUUUCCAGUUGGACACGCGCAAGCUGUGUUUCUUACAUAAGCUCAUUUGAAAAUCACAUACUAGUAGCAGCAAAGUUUAGUGCAAUAGUUUUCUGUCAACGUUCAGUGCCAGCAGCAAAAUUCAGUUAUGCACAAGCACCAUUUAGCAGCAGCAUAGGUAUAUAGCAUUCAUUUAGCGGCAGAAAAAUCCAGUUCAUUUUACUCGCUGCUCUCUUUGGCAUUUACAGUCAUGGACUCUCUGGCUGCUCCUCCUCUGGCCAAUGGUGAAGCGUCCAACGAGGCCAGCAGCAAGGCAAUGCGGCGGGAUCGUGCUCCCGUGAUCGUAUGAGGCGCCUGCUCUGCUACUCAAGGAACGAUUACCUAUUGAUUCCAUGGUCUCGAUGUUUUUCUCCUACAUGGUUCGGAAGGGCUUCCGUGGAAGGCCCAGUCCUGACUAUUGAAGGAGCUACAUGUAGAAGAAGAAAACACUUAUAGACCAGUGAUUCCCAUACUUGUAGAGCUUGUAUCAACUAAGCUUGUAUUACGUGUAACUUGUAGAACUUUUAAAGUAUUGUAUAUGUAACAGCUUGUAGUACGUGUCAUUUGUAGAACUUGUACUGAAUCUGGCUAUUGUUAUUGGAAGUAUCAUGUGUGUUUUAUGCUUGCCAAUU
Molecule: non-coding RNA, 2004 nt
Organism: Triticum urartu
Lineage: Eukaryota; Viridiplantae; Streptophyta; Magnoliopsida; Poales; Poaceae
Source: RefSeq, a predicted model, not a curated record